Molecule: small RNA, 549 nt
Filed under: Pan troglodytes (chimpanzee)
Lineage: Eukaryota; Metazoa; Chordata; Mammalia; Primates; Hominidae
Description: retained intron
Source: RNAcentral
GUCUACUGAAGAAAUCCAGCGUCUGAGGCCUGUGCCCAAGGCUCCCAGCCCGUAGCUUCAGGCUCUGCGCAGGUUCCCUCACGGCUGCUUCUUGUUUCUCACACUUCCAGAUCGAUCCUGUCCUCGGUACCGUGGGCUUCGGGUCUGGCCUCCAUGGGUGGGCCUUCACCCUGAAGCAGUUUGCCGAGAUGUACGUGGCCAAGUUCGCCGCCAAGGGGGAGGGCCAGUUGGGGCCUGCCGAACGGGCCAAGAAAGUAGAGGACAUGAUGAAGAAGCUGUGGGGUGACAGGUACUUUGACCCAGCCAACGGCAAGUUCAGCAAGUCAGCCACCAGCCCCGAAGGGAAGAAGCUGCCACGCACCUUCUGCCAGCUGAUCCUGGACCCCAUCUUCAAGGUGUUUGAUGCGAUCAUGAAUUUCAAGAAAGAGGAGACAGCAAAACUGAUAGAGAAACUGGACAUCAAACUGGACAGCGAGGACAAGGACAAAGAAGGCAAACCCCUGCUGAAGGCUGUGAUGCGCCGCUGGCUGCCCGCCGGAGACGCCUUGU